This 320-nucleotide ribosomal RNA is filed under the name Bacillota bacterium. Its description in RNAcentral is "bacterial SSU rRNA". It matches the Rfam family "Bacterial small subunit ribosomal RNA", at positions 1 to 328 of the family's 1533-position model. The record is from RNAcentral. Lineage: Bacteria; Bacillati; Bacillota.
UAACAUGAGAGUUUGAUUCUGGCUCAGGACGAACGCUGGCGGCGUGCUUAACACAUGCAAGUCGAACGAAGUGUAGCAAUACACUUAGUGGCGGACGGGUGAGUAACGCGUGAGGAACCUGGCUCCAACAGGGGGACAACAACUGGAAACGGUUGCUAAUACCGCAUAAGACCACAGAGCGGCAUCGCUCAGGGGUCAAAGCUCCGGCGGUUGGAGAUGGCCUCGCGUACUAUUAGCUAGUUGGUAGGGUAACGGCCUACCAAGGCGACGAUAGUUAGCCGACCUGAGAGGGUGAUCGGCCACAUUGGAACUGAGACACG